Long non-coding RNA from Amphiprion ocellaris (clown anemonefish), 2119 nucleotides. RefSeq lists it as uncharacterized. The record is from RefSeq and is a predicted model, not a curated record. Lineage: Eukaryota; Metazoa; Chordata; Actinopteri; Pomacentridae. The transcript has 3 exons.
UAAUGCACGUACGUCACCGAAUUCACUUCCUUGGUUUUGGUUUGAAGAUGCGUCCCAUUCUGUCUUAUAUUUACCAACAAAAGUUACUGCUAAAAACCAUGCAAAACAAUUAAUUCCCUGAUGUUCUUCACGAAAGCGGAGGAGAAUGGCUGAAAGAAGCAGACCCCAGACCAGGCAAAUCACCGUGAUGGAAACUGUUGCAUCCAGAUCUGUUGCAGCACUGAAAGAAUGAAGAGUGAAAGUAGCAGUUCCUCCUUAAGGUCAGAGAUUGCAGUAUCUGAGGGCCUCUUCAAAAGAAGACGUAGUUGAUGAAGGCGUUCUGGAGCAGGACCAGAAAGACCACGACCAAGCAGCCUUGAGAUCUUAGGCAGCGUUUCCCUCGGGUGGGUGUCAACGGUGUUCACGGUCAGGUCUGUGGUAAUCCCAUCAAAAAACAAAACAGAAAAAAAUCUAGAUUAUAAAUCAACAUGUAACCAAAGCACUCUGUGUAUAACGCCAUAGUAUAGGAUGUAGUUCAGAAAAUGCCAAAGUAUAGUAUACUUUUCAAGAAUAACAUAGUAUGGCCUGUAGUUCACAGUAUAGCAUGUCGGCAAAAAAAAACAACUGACUAUUAUGUGGUUCAAAAAGUGCAAAAUGACAGGAUGUUGCCUAAAAUUGUCAUGGAUGAUAUAUGGUUCAAAAAAUGUCAUAGUGCAGUAUAUUGUCAAAAUAGUAAGUUUUUCAAGAAAACAUCGGAGUAUAUGUCAUCUAAAAAAUGCCAUAGAAUAAUAUUUCAUUGCACAAGUAAAAGUAUAGUAAUUUUUAAAACUGUUCAAAUACUUAUGUUUCUAAAAAGCAGAAAAAACUAAAACAAAAAAAGUCAUAGUAAUAUGUCAGUUUAAAAACCCUAUAGUAUAGAGUGUCGCCCAACAAACGUCAUAGUAUAGCAUGUCGCUCUAAAAACGUGAUAGUAUGGCCUUUGAUCCAAAAAACAUCAUAGUAUAGCAUGUCGCGCUAAAAAUGUCAUAGUUUAGCAUGUCGCUCUAAAAAUGUCAUAGUACAGCAUGUCGCUCUAAAAACGUCAUAGCAUAGCAUGUCGUUCAAAAACAUCAUAGUAUAGCAUGUCUUUAAAAUUGUCACAGUAUAGCAUGUCGUCAAAAAACCUCAGAGUAUUGCCUUUGGUCUAAAAACGUCAUAGUAUAGCCUUUGGUCUAAAAACGUCAUAGUAUAGCAUGUGGCUCUAAAAACGUCAUAGUAUAGCUUGUUGCUCUAAAAAUGUCAUAGUAUAGUAUGUCACUCUAAAAACGUCAUAGUUUAGUAUGUCGCUCUAAAAACUUAAUAAUAUAGCAUGUCGCCCAAAAAACGUCAUGGUAUAGCAUGUCGUUCAAAAAACGUCCUAGUAUAGCAUGUCGCCCAAAAAACAUCAUAGUAUAGUAUGUCGCCCAAAAAAGUCAUAAUAUAGCCUUUGGUCCAAAAAAACGUCAUAGUAGAGCAUGUGGCUCAAAAAACGUCAUAGUGUAGCAUGUCGCUCUAAAAAUGUCAUAGUAUAGCCUGUCGCUCAACAAACGUCAUUGUAUAGCAUGUUGUCCAAAAAAAUGUCAGCGUAUAGCAUGUCGCUCUAAAAACGUCAUUGUAUAGCGUGGCGUCCAAAAAACGUCAUCGAAUAGCAUGUCGCUCUUGAAAUGUCAUAGUAUAGCAUGUCGCUCUAGUAUAGUCAGGCGUUUUUUUGCGCCAAAAUUCAUGAUGAUUUUUUUUCAAAGAAAACCUUUCUGGAGUGUUUUUCAUGCCCUCCUUUACAUUAUUUCAUCAUAUGGCACGUUUUUACAACAUGUUUGAAAAAUGGCAUUUUUUUUCGACAGUAUAGUCAGGCAUUUUUUUGCGCCAAAAUUUAUGUUUUUUUUUUCAAAGAAAACCUUUCUGGAGUGUUUUUCAUGCCCUCCUUUACAUUAUUUCAUCAUAUGGCACGUUUUUACAACAUGUUUGAAAAAUGGCAUUUUUUUUCAACAUAGUAUAGUCAGGCAUUUUUUUGCGCCAAAAUUUAUGUUUUUUUUUUCAAAGAAAACCUUUCUGGAGUGUUUUUCAUGCCCUCCUUUACAUUAUUUCAUCAUAUGGCACGUUUUUACAACAUGUUUGAAAAAUG